UUUGAGCAGUCGCGGCUAGCUAUUGCUAGCUGAGGAAAGUCCACGCACGCACGGGCUGCGAUGCCCGUAGUGAUCGUAUUCAGCCCAAUAAGCUGGAGGAAGCUUAGCUUCACGGCGGAGAAAACGCUAAAGCCUUUGGCCAUGCGCGAAUAUCCUGGAAGUGCCACAGUGACGAAGCAGGCGGGAAACCGACCUGGUGGAACGAGGUAAACCCUGCGAGCGUGUAACCCAAAAAUUUGGUAGGGGCGUCUCAACUUAGGUAAAUGAACUAAAAGUUGGACUACAUCUGUAGAGAUAGAUGGCUGCUGAAGCUGUCGCUUAGCCGGGCGCCAGCGGAACAGAACGUGGCUUAUAG
RNAcentral lists this RNase P RNA (355 nucleotides) under Lactobacillus equicursoris. RNAcentral's name for it is "Bacterial RNase P class B". It matches the Rfam family "Bacterial RNase P class B". Rfam says of the family: Ribonuclease P (RNase P) is a ubiquitous endoribonuclease, found in archaea, bacteria and eukarya as well as chloroplasts and mitochondria. Its best characterised activity is the generation of mature 5'-ends of tRNAs by cleaving the 5'-leader elements of precursor-tRNAs. The record is from RNAcentral. Lineage: Bacteria; Bacillati; Bacillota; Bacilli; Lactobacillales; Lactobacillaceae.